Molecule: ribosomal RNA, 253 nt
Filed under: uncultured bacterium
Lineage: Bacteria
Description: partial 16S ribosomal RNA
Rfam family: Bacterial small subunit ribosomal RNA
Source: RNAcentral
UACGAAGGGGGCUAGCGUUGUUCGGAAUUACUGGGCGUAAAGCGUGCGUAGACGGUUAUUUAAGUCGGAUGUGAAAGCCCCGGGCUCAACCUGGGAAUUGCAUUCGAGACUGAAUAGCUAGGGUGCGGUAGAGGGAAGCGGAAUUUCCGGUGUAGCGGUGAAAUGCGUAGAUAUCGGGAGGAAUACCGAUGGCGAAGGCAGGUCUCUGGGCUGACACUGACGCUCAUGCACGAAAGCGUGGGGAGCAAACAGG